This 72-nucleotide transfer RNA is filed under the name Ictidomys tridecemlineatus (thirteen-lined ground squirrel). RNAcentral describes it as "Spermophilus tridecemlineatus (thirteen-lined ground squirrel) tRNA". It matches the Rfam family "tRNA". Rfam says of the family: Transfer RNA (tRNA) molecules are approximately 80 nucleotides in length. Their secondary structure includes four short double-helical elements and three loops (D, anti-codon, and T loops). Further hydrogen bonds mediate the characteristic L-shaped molecular structure. tRNAs have two regions of fundamental functional importance: the anti-codon, which is responsible for specific mRNA codon recognition, and the 3' end, to which the tRNAs corresponding amino acid is attached (by aminoacyl-tRNA synthetases). tRNAs cope with the degeneracy of the genetic code in two manners: having more than one tRNA (with a specific anti-codon) for a particular amino acid; and 'wobble' base-pairing, i.e. permitting non-standard base-pairing at the 3rd anti-codon position. Lineage: Eukaryota; Metazoa; Chordata; Mammalia; Rodentia; Sciuridae. The record is from Rfam by way of RNAcentral.
UGGGGUGUAGCUCAGUAGUAGGGUGUCUGUUUGGUAUUCAUGAAGCCCUGGGUUCAGUUCCCAGUACCAAAA